Molecule: small RNA, 116 nt
Filed under: Pantoea ananatis
Lineage: Bacteria; Pseudomonadati; Pseudomonadota; Gammaproteobacteria; Enterobacterales; Erwiniaceae
Also listed under: 1 other name
Description: RtT sRNA
Rfam family: RtT RNA
About the family: This family represents a bacterial cis-regulatory element known as RtT RNA. The exact function of RtT is unknown although it is thought that it may be involved in changing the cellular response in relation to amino acid starvation.
Source: RNAcentral
UUUUCGCCUGAAUAAAAGAGGAUGAAAACCUCCGAAGGAGGGUUGCGCCGAGCGCAGCGAGACAACGUUGCGAACGCAACGGUCCGAAGGGGCGCGUAAUCCUCUCUCGCCGACCA